UACGAAGGGGGCUAGCGUUGCUCGGAAUCACUGGGCGUAAAGCGCACGUAGGCGGGUCGUUAAGUCGGGGGUGAAAUCCUGGAGCUCAACUCCAGAACUGCCUUCGAUACUGGCGACCUUGAGACUGGGAGAGGUGAGUGGAACUCCGAGUGUAGAGGUGAAAUUCGUAGAUAUUCGGAAGAACACCAGUGGCGAAGGCGGCUCACUGGCCCGGUACUGACGCUGAGGUGCGAAAGCGUGGGGAGCAAACAGG
Molecule: ribosomal RNA, 253 nt
Filed under: uncultured bacterium
Lineage: Bacteria
Description: partial 16S ribosomal RNA
Rfam family: Bacterial small subunit ribosomal RNA
Source: RNAcentral